Molecule: ribosomal RNA, 1493 nt
Filed under: uncultured bacterium
Lineage: Bacteria
Description: 16S ribosomal RNA
Rfam family: Bacterial small subunit ribosomal RNA
Source: RNAcentral
AGAGUUUGAUCCUGGCUCAGGAUGAACGCUGGCGGCAUGCCUAAUACAUGCAAGUCGAACGAAGGAUCCCUUCGGGGGUCUUUAGUGGCGAACGGGUGAGUAAGACGUAAGGAACCUGCCCCUAUGCCUGGGAUAACUCUGGGAAACGAGAGCUAAUACCGGAUAGGUGAACGGAAGACAUCUUCGGUUCAUGAAAGAUGGGGAACAUCACAGAGGGAUGGCCUUACGGCGCAUUAGCUAGUUGGAGAGGUAGAGGCUCACCAAGGCGAUGAUGCGUAGCCGGCCUGAGAGGGUGAACGGCCACAUUGGGACUGAGACACGGCCCAGACUCCUACGGGAGGCAGCAGUAGGGAAUUUUCGGCAAUGGGCGAAAGCCUGACCGAGCAAUGCCGCGUGAGUGAAGAAGGCCUUCGGGUUGUAAAGCUCUGUUGUAAAGGAAGAACGGAUGGCAUAGGGAAUGAUGCCAUUGUGACGGUACUUUACGAGGAAGUCACGGCUAACUACGUGCCAGCAGCCGCGGUAAUACGUAGGUGGCGAGCGUUAUCCGGAAUUAUUGGGCGUAAAGGGUGCGCAGGCGGCAAGAAAAGCUUAAGGUGAAAGCGUGGGGCUCAACUCCAUAAAGCCUUAGGAACUAGCUUGCUAGAGUGCAGGAGAGGGCGAUGGAAUUCCAUGUGUAGCGGUAAAAUGCGUAGAUAUAUGGAGGAACACCAGUGGCGAAGGCGGUCGCCUGGCCUGUAACUGACGCUGAGGCACGAAAGCGUGGGGAGCAAAUAGGAUUAGAUACCCUAGUAGUCCACGCUGUAAACGAUGGAUACUAAGUGUUGGGGAAACUCAGUGCUGCAGUUAACGCAAUAAGUAUCCCGCCUGGGGAGUAUGCACGCAAGUGUGAAACUCAAAGGAAUUGACGGGGGCCCGCACAAGCGGUGGAGUAUGUGGUUUAAUUCGACGCAACGCGAAAAACCUUACCAGGCCUUGACAUCCCUUGCGAAGCUUUAGAGAUAGAGUGGAGGAUAUCAAGGAGACAGGUGGUGCAUGGUUGUCGUCAGCUCGUGUCGUGAGAUGUUGGGUUAAGUCCCGCAACGAGCGCAACCCUUGUCUUUAGUUACCAUCAAGUAAAGUUGGGGACUCUAAAGAGACUGCCGGUGAUAAACCGGAGGAAGGUGGGGAUGACGUCAAAUCAUCAUGCCCCUUAUGGCCUGGGCUACACACGUACUACAAUGGCGCAUACAGACGGAAGCGAAGGAGCGAUCUGAAGCAAAACCGAGAAAGUGCGUCACAGUUCGGAUUGAAGUCUGCAACUCGACUUCAUGAAGCCGGAAUCGCUAGUAAUCGCAGAUCAGCAUGCUGCGGUGAAUACGUUCUCGGGCCUUGUACACACCGCCCGUCAAACCAUGAGAGUUGGCAAUACCCGAAGCCGGUGGCCUAACCUAGCAAUAGGAGGGAGCCGUCGAAGGUAGGGCUGAUGAUUGGGGUUAAGUCGUAACAAGGUAACC